GUGAAUGCAUGUGGCCCAGUUUUCUGAGA
RNAcentral lists this non-coding RNA (29 nucleotides) under Homo sapiens (human). The record is from RNAcentral. Lineage: Eukaryota; Metazoa; Chordata; Mammalia; Primates; Hominidae.